Molecule: ribosomal RNA, 1002 nt
Filed under: uncultured bacterium
Lineage: Bacteria
Description: bacterial SSU rRNA
Rfam family: Bacterial small subunit ribosomal RNA
Source: RNAcentral
AGAGUUUGAUCCUGGCUCAGAAUCAACGCUGGCGGCGCGCCUAACACAUGCAAGUCGAACGAGAAAGUGGAGCAAUCCAUGAGUAAAGUGGCGUACGGGUGAGUAACACGUGGAUAAUCUGCCCUUUAGUGGGGAAUACCGAUGGGAAACCGUCGACAAUACCGCAUAAGCUCGAGAGAGGAAAGCAGCAAUGCGCUGAAGGAGGAGUCCGCGGUCGAUUAGUUAGUUGGCGGGGUAAAGGCCCACCAAGACUGUGAUCGAUAGCCGGCCUGAGAGGGCACACGGCCACACUGGCACUGAAACACGGGCCAGACUCCUACGGGAGGCAGCAGUGGGGAAUCUUGCACAAUGGGGGAAACCCUGAUGCAGCGACGCCGCGUGAGCGAUGAAGCCCCUCGGGGUGUAAAGCUCUUUCGGCAGGGAAGAUUAUGACGGUACCUGCAAAAGCAGCUGCGGCUAACUACGUGCCAGCAGCCGCGGUAAUACGUAGGCAGCAAGCGUUGUUCGGAGUUACUGGGCGUAAAGGGUGCGUAGGCGGCUUUUUAAGUUUGGUGUGAAAUCUCCCGGCUCAACUGGGAGGGUGCGCCGAAUACUGAGAGGCUAGAGUGUGGGAGAGGAAAGUGGAAUUCCUGGUGUAGCGGUGAAAUGCGUAGAUAUCAGGAGGAACACCGGUGGUGUAAACGGCUUUCUGGACCAUAACUGACGCUGAGGCACGAAAGCGUGGGUAGCAACAGGAUUAGAUACCCUGGUAGUCCACGCCCUAAACGAUGCAUAUUUGGUGUGGGCCAUUCAUUUGGUCUGCGCCGGAGCUAACGCGUUAAAUAUGCCGCCUGGGGAGUACAGUCGCAAGGCUGAAACUCAAAGGAAUUGACGGGGGCCCGCACAAGCGGUGGAGCAUGUGGUUUAAUUCGACGCAACGCGAAGAACCUUACCUGGGCUCGAAAUGCUAUGGACCAGCUGGUGAAAGCCGGCCUUCCCGCAAGGGACUGUAGUAUAGGUGCU